Papaver somniferum (opium poppy) is the source of this 1711-nucleotide long non-coding RNA. RefSeq lists it as uncharacterized. The transcript has 7 exons. The record is from RefSeq and is a predicted model, not a curated record. Lineage: Eukaryota; Viridiplantae; Streptophyta; Magnoliopsida; Ranunculales; Papaveraceae.
GUGUACCUUCCAAAAAAGAAAUGAUAAAUUGUAGAUGCCGAUUGCUAUUAUUAGUCCCUUUUAACCAUCUCAGGUCUUGUUACUUUACUUUGCAAUAACAAGUCUGAGCUGUAAAAUAGUUCUGAAAAGAAGAUGCAUUGCUGCCUAUAUAUAGAAUGGUUGGGAGUUGGGACUGGGUAGCCUUCAAAGAUUACCUUAACCACCCUUUACCAUGAUCGUAAGUGUUCCUUUUCUCUUUCUACCAAUGUUUAUUAACUAGUUGAUGUUAUAAACAUUUGUCGCUUUUUGGUUUCAGGAUACGGGUUUCAUGGAUGGAGUUAUUAAUGGUGCUAUUAGCAUCUCAGCGGUACAAAUUGGAAUUCUUUUAACCUCUUAUGUGAAAUGUGCCUUGUUUUUGGAUCAUUUUUAUACUCUAAAGCUUAUUUGCUUGGUUCAGAAUUAGUACAGCAUAGUAUAUAUUUUGGUGCAUGCAUGAGUUGGACAAUUUUUCUUUUUCGAAUGCUUUACUCACUGACUUUAAUCUGUACUUGUUGUCGCUAAUCAAACAGUGGAUUUGCUAUAUGGAUAGGUCCUCUCAUAAUCCACUACUGAGAUUGAAGGCUUUUUUUGGAUCACUAUAUCGUUGUUAACCCUGAAAACAAUGACCAGCUUGAAUUGAUCCUAGGAUUUGCUAAGCGUGCUGGCUUUGUAGGUGGUGUGGUUGUUGAUUUUUCCCCACAGGAAGGAGAUUUCUAGAUACAAAGACCUUGACUGUAGUAGAAACUCGGUGAAUGGUGGAUUGGUGGCUGAAGGGGAGUUUCCACUUGCUGCAUUUCAUGGAGGGGAGGAGAUUUCUAGAUACAAAGAUCUUGACUGUAGAAGAAGAAGAUAAAAAGCAAUCAAUGUUUACUGGUCUACACAAAUUAAAAGGCAACCACCAACAUUGUUCCGCAACACUGGCAACCAAACAAUGGUCUUCUUAUGACCAAUGGUAUCACAGGAGUCAGGUCUCAACCUUGAAGAAGCAGUUCGAUGCAUAGCUCUCUCAAGGAAUGACACACAUGUAAUGUCCGCAACCGGUGGAAAGAUAUCACUAUUUAACAUGAUGACUUAUAAGGUAAUGACAACAUUUGUGCCACCUCCACCAGCUUCAACAUACGUAGUGAAGUCAUCCAAUGUGGUUUUUGAGUAUGUUGAUGGUUUCAGGAGGCUUGAUAGGCGAUCUUCAAGAGAUUCUACAAGACCUGAUUCAUUUCCUUGUCAGGCUUCUCCCUAAAUCUAAGGUAAUGAUAAUCGUCUUUGUGUGCUUAGUGAUUCUGGUCUUAUUGGUUCUUGGGUUCAUGAUGAGAUUGGCACACAUGGUUAUCCUUUUUAACCACUACUCCUUUGCAAGGUACAAUCUAAUUAAUCGGUUAGCACUUAGCCUCUUUAAUAACUGCAGCAAUAGCAACUUGUAUUACAGUAAACAACAAUGAAUUCCUAGUACCUACCACAGCAACAGAUUCUAAUGCUUGGCCACAACAACAACAGAUUCUAGUGCUGCAAAAAGCAUAUUCUAAUACCACAUCAUCGGUAAGCCUUGACUUAUCAUGAGAUUUUUUUUUUAAUUCAUUCUAUAUUAAGGCAAAUCCUCAAGAUAAAAAUGAAGUUGAAAUUUGCGCAAUUUUGGUUCACUUGUGUAUGAGAUUGAUUAUGAGUUCUGACAUACUAUCAAACUACUUUUUUUGUAAAU